Molecule: long non-coding RNA, 1145 nt
Filed under: Salmo trutta (river trout)
Lineage: Eukaryota; Metazoa; Chordata; Actinopteri; Salmoniformes; Salmonidae
Description: lncRNA (ENSSTUG00000018807.1)
Source: RNAcentral
UUUGAAUGGAGUUUUGCGCGAGAGAGGAGCUGCCUGAGGGUGAGUUGUUGUGUUCUCGGCCCUAACGGAAACCUGACCAGAACUAACCGAAAUCCGCUUUCAGUCGCCCUCCGUUACUUUCAUACAUCUAGUUACGGUAGUUAGCAAGCUCAAAGCAGGACGCAAAGGAGAUGAUUCUUUCUAAACGGAUAGACUAUGAACAUUUUGAGACUCAGUCUCAAUAUUCGACAGACCAAGGAAGUCAAGGAGGUGAGACCGGUGGCUACAUCAGGGUAGGCAGCUAGAAGCACAACAUUAAAGUACCACUCCUAGUUUCCUUUUCACCUCCAAUUAAACACCUUGUUUACUUAAUAACAAAUGGAACAUCUGAAUAGGUGGUCCAGGUAAGUCAUGACAGCAGAACUCCCUCUUCUUCAUUGAUCCUUAACACCUUGAAAGCCAUACUCUUCAUUGAUCCUCAACACCUUGAAAGCCAUACUCUUCAUUGAUCCUCAACACCUUGAAAGCCAUACUCUUCAUUGAUCCUCAACACCUUGAAAGCCAUACUCUUCAUUGAUCCUCAACACCUUGAAAGCCAUACUCUUCAUUGAUCCUCAACACCUUGAAAGCCAUACUCUUCAUUGAUCCUCAACACCUUGAAAGCCAUACUCUUCAUUGAUCCUCAACACCUUGAAAGCCAUACUCUUCAUUGAUCCUCAACACCUUGAAAGCCAUACUCUUCAUUGAUCCUCAACACCUUGAAAGCCAUACUCUUCAUUGAUCCUCAACACCUUGAAAGCCAUACUCUUCAUUGAUCCUCAACACCUUGAAAGCCAUACUCUUCAUUGAUCCUCAACACCUUGAAAGCCAUACUCUUCAUUGAUCCUCAACACCUUGAAAGCCAUACUCUUCAUUGAUCCUCAACACCUUGAAAGCCAUACUCUUCACUUCAUUGAUCCUCAACACCUUGAAAGCCAUACUCUUCAUUGAUCCUCAACACCUUGAAAGCCAUACUCUUCAUUGAUCCUCAACACCUUGAAAGCCAUACUCUUCAUUGAUCCUCAACACCUUGAAAGCCAUACUCUUCAUUGAUCCUCAACACCUUGAAAGCCAUACUCUUCAUUGAUCCUUGAAAGCCAUACUCUUCAUUGAUCCUCAACACCUUG